Molecule: long non-coding RNA, 10225 nt
Filed under: Triticum aestivum (bread wheat)
Lineage: Eukaryota; Viridiplantae; Streptophyta; Magnoliopsida; Poales; Poaceae
Description: long non-coding RNA (TAES_LNC027626)
Source: RNAcentral
AGGCAUAGGGCCGAGUCUUCCACCCUUUACCAAGUAUAUAGAUGCAUUAAUUAAAACAAUAGAUAUUGUGAUAUCCCAAAAUAUCCAUGUUCCGAACCAGGAACAAACUUCAUCUUCACCUGCAACUAGCAACGCUAUAAGAGGGGCUGAGCAAAGCGGUAACAUAGCCAAUCAACGGUUUGCUAGGACAUGGAUGGUUAGAGGUUUGACAUGGCAGUAUGGGUGGCAUGAUAUAGCAAGUGGUAGGUAACGUAGCAUAGGCAUAGCAAAAGAGGGAGCAUCUAGCAAGCAAAGAUAGAAGUGAUUUCGAAGGUAUGGUCAUCUUGCCUGCAAGGUUCUCAGAGUUGUCAAAGGCUUGAUCCUCGUAGGCGUUCUCAACAGGUUCCUCGUUCACGUACUCGUCUCCCGGCUCUACCCAAAGCAAGAACACAAGCAACGGAACCACAAUCAAACAAGGAGCAAUGCACAAGCAAUAUGAUGCAAUACAUGACAUGCUAUGCGAGAUGUGAUAUGCAAUGCAUAUGUGUGCUCCGGAAGGAAAAUGAUGAACAAGGCAUCAACUUGGCAAACCAAGUAUGCCACUGGAAAGAUGAGAUAAUUUCGGUUGAAAUCGAUAUAAAGAUCACCGGAAUCGGAUGCACGGUUUGCAAAUGGCAAGCAAAACAAUAAUGGCACAAAUCUGCGUUUAACAGCACGAUGCUACUUAGCAUGCAACAAGAAACUAUGCUACAACACCCCAUCAUAAAAACAAAGCAUAUGGCAGUGAUCUACAGGAGAUGCUUAACAAAAUAGGAACACUGAGCUAUUGCUAAAUCACAUCAGAACAGGCUCAAACAAGCAUGGUGAAAGUGCAAAAAAUAUCAGGUUCACAGACUUAGUGAAAAUACUAGCAUGCCAGAAAUUAACAUCAGGAAGGCAUGUUUAGAGCAAGCAAACAACAAGCUACAGGAACUUAUAAUAGCAAAACAAGACAUGGCAUGAUUCUACUCAAAGCAUAGAUCAAAAGUCCCUUACUGACCAUAAGCCAAAAAGGACCAUAAGAAAUGAUGGCACCCAUGUAAACAUAGCAAGUUUCAUUACAGAUCUCAGACAUAGCAGAAAACUGGGCAUGGCAAAAACAGAUAACAAGUAGGCAUGUUCGUGAGCUCGACGCACUCACUACAGAGCAUCUCAUGAAAAACUAAGCAUACACCCAUCAAGAAGACAUGGCAUAGAAUCUAUACAUGGCAAGAACAAUAUCAUAUCAUACACGUAUCAACUACAACAACCUCAUGAAAAUUGAAUCUCAUGUAAACAAUCUGCCAGGAAACAUUUUGAAGCAAAAGUAGAGCACGAAAAUGACAUGCUAUGCUACUCCAUAAAUGCCAACAAAGGCAUGGAUGGAUAGAGCACAUCCAUAUGUUCAAAACACCCUUACUGAUCAUGCUCAAGAAGGGCAUGGAUCUCUCUGUAACAACAUGAACACAUGGCAUAAAAAUAACAGCAGGACAUGACUUAGUGAAAACACUAAGUUCCUGAAAUCAGCAACAUUAUCAUCCCUAGUUUGCAUGCUUGUUCUAGUCACCACAUAACUCACAAAAAUACAUGGCAUACACCCCUGGAAAGAUGGCAUGGCAUAGAUCAACACACAUGUAGGGGUCGAGUUCAUAAGGUGCACACAUUAAUCAUGGCAAAAAUGACAAAAGUGCAAGUUUUGUUAAGAAACAGAAACUAACAUCACAUAGCCCUCUUCCAACAGCAUUUCGGGCAUCAAGAUGAGCUCAAAUUAAAAUGGAGCAAUGAGAUGAAAUGAUCUACUCUUCGAGGCAAACAAUUUGAUAUGCUACACGCCCAAAAUGGAGCCACGGGUGCAAAGAUGUGAUGCGAUGAAAAUGCAACAAUAAAUUGAACAGAUUAUGACUUAGUGGAUUUCGGGGGUGGGGAAAAAGUCAACCGUCGUUUUUCAGAUCGGAUCCGGAUCGGGGUCGUCGCCGGAGUUGGCCCGGAGCUUCGCCGGAGAAGGGGUCGGGGCCGGAGUCGGGGGCCGGAGGAGGCCGACGCGGCGGGGCCGGCCGGAGUGUGNNNNNNNNNNNNNNNNNNNNNNNNNNNNNNNNNNNNNNNNNNNNNNNNNNNNNNNNNNNNNNNNNNNNNNNNNNNNNNNNNNNNNNNNNNNNNNNNNNNNNNNNNNNNNNNNNNNNNNNNNNNNNNNNNNNNNNNNNNNNNNNNNNNNNNNNNNNNNNNNNNNNNNNNNNNNNNNNNNNNNNNNNNNNNNNNNNNNNNGGCGGCGAUCUGGGGACCGGCCCGAGCACGUGGCGCGGCCUGAUUCGUCCGGCGGCGCGGGCGGACGUGUUCGGCCGCCCGGUUUUCGUCCGGCGGCGUGAGGGGAGCGGGGAGACUAGGGUUUCGUCCGGAUUUCGGGGAAGGGGUCUAUAUUUAUAGGUAGAGGGAGCUAGGAGACUCCAAAUGGGGUGCGGUUUUUGCCCACACGAUUGUGAUCGAACGACCGAGAGCAUGGAGGUGACUUAGAUGGGUUAUUGGGCUGUUUUGGAGGGGUGUUGGGCUGCAACUUAAAAGAGGCCUUUACGAGAGUGCGGUUAACCGUUGGAGUACCAAACGAGCUCCAAAUGACCCGAAACUUGAUAGGUGGUCUACCAGUGCUAUACCAGGGCCACUUGGCAAGGCUCGGUCCAUUCCGAGAACGUUCAACACCCGCACACGGAAAAAUGUAAAAGGGGACGCCGGGGAACAUAGGAGUGCCGGAUUGCAAAACGGACAACGUGGAAAAUUCUUGGAAUCAUGAGACGAACACGUAUGCAAAUGAGAUGCACAUGAUGACAUGAUAUGAAGUGCAUGACAUGGACAAAAUGCAAAAAUGAAGAAAAAACCCAACCACGGAGGGAAUAUCAUAGCACAUAGCUGAAAAUGGCAAGAGUUGGAGUUACAAAUAUGGAAAGUUACAUCCGGGGUGUUACAACACUCCACCACUACAAGAGGAUCUCGUCCUGAGAUCUAGGACUGAAAGAACUCCGGAUAUUCGGAACAGAGGUGAUCCUCGCGCUCCCAGGUGGCUUCUCGGUCUGAAUGGUGUGACCACUUCACUUUCAGGAAUUUGAUUGACUUGUUGCGAGUCUUGCGCUCGGUUUCUUCCAGAAUAGCAACGGGAUGCUCAUGAUAAGAGAGAUCUUCUUGGAGGUCAAUUUCUUCAAAGUUGAUAGUGCGUUCAGGAAUCUUGAAGCACUUGCGAAGCUGUGACACGUGAAACACAUCGUGCACGUUUGCAAUAUUGGAUGGAAGCUCAAGUUGAUAAGCGAGAUCGCCUCUUUUGCCAAUGAUCUUGAAAGGACCCACGUAUCUAGGGGCAAGCUUCCCUUUGAUACCGAAGCGAAGAGUGCCUUUCAUUGGGGAGACGCGGAGGUAGACAUGGUCUCCGAUUUCAAAAACCACAUCACGGUGCUUGUCAUCAUAAUAGCCCUUCUGGCGCGAUUGUGCGGCUUUGAGAUUCUCACGAAUGACUUUGCACAUUUCUUCGGCUUCUGUGAUCAAGUCGUUGCCAAGAAGUUGGCGUUCACCUGUCUCGGACCAAUUGAGAGGAGUACGGCACUUCCUGCCAUAGAGAAUUUCGAAUGGGGCCUUGCCCGAACUUGCUUGGAAGCUAUUGUUGUAGGAGAACUCGGCAUAUGGAAGACACUCUUCCCACUUCAUGCCAAAGGAAAUGACACAAGCCCUGAGCAUAUCUUCAAGGAUUUGAUUGACUCGCUCGACUUGGCCACUUGUUUGAGGAUGGAAAGCUGUGCUGAAAGGAAUGUUGAUGCCCAUGGCCUUCUGAAAGGAGUCCCAGAACUUAGAAGUGAAGAUGCUUCCACGGUCUGAAGAGAUCAAUUGUGGAAUACCGUGCAAGGAGACAAUUCUGGAGGUGUAUAGCUCUGCCAGCUGAGCUGCUGUGAUAGAUUCUUUGAUAGGAAGAAAAUGAGCCACUUUAGUAAGCUUGUCAAUGACAACGAAGAUAGCAUCAUUUCCACGCUUGGACUUAGGAAAUCCAGUCACGAAGUCCAUCUCGAUAUGAUCAAACUUCCAUUCCGGAAUAGCAAGAGGUUGGAGGAGACCAGCUGGUCGUUGGUGUUCUGCUUUCACCUUUCUGCAGACAUCACAUUCAUUCACGAAUUGAGCAAUUUCUCGCUUCAUUCGAGUCCACCAAUACGACUGCUUGAGGUCAUGGUACAUCUUCGUGCUUCCAGGAUGAAUGGAUAGAAGAGAAUUGUGUGCCUCAUUCAUGAUGACUUUUCUCAGAUCGCCUUUGGGAACCACAAUUCGAUCCUCAAAGAAAAGAGUAUCUUUGUCAUCCAAUCGAUAGCACUUGUAUUUGGGAAUGCCCUUGUCAAUACCACGUUUCACUUUCUUCACCAUGGCAUCCAGGAGUUGUGCCUCACGAAUUUGAUCUCCCAAAGUAGGAGAGACUAUGAGGUUGGCAAGAAAGCCUUGAGGAACAACUUGAAGAUUCAACUUGUGGAAAGCUUCACAAAGAUCCGGUUGGAAGGGCUUGAGAAUUAAGCUGUUGCAAUAAGCCUUUCUGCUCAGAGCAUCUGCAAUCACAUUCGCCUUGCCCGGAGUAUAUUCAAUACUUGGAUUGUACUCUUGAAUCAUUUCGACCCAUCGAGUUUGCCUGAGGUUGAGGUUUAGUUGAGUUAAGAUAUACUUGAGACUCUUGUGAUCGGUGAAAAUGUCCACUUUCCUUCCCAACAAGAGAUGUCUCCAUGUUAUCAAUGCAUGGACAACUGCCGCCAACUCGAGAUCGUGAGUGGGGUAGUUCUUUUCGUUGGGCUUCAACUGACGAGAGGUAUAGGCCACAACUUUCUUCUCUUGCAUUAACACAGCACCGAGACCUUGCAAGGAAGCAUCACAGAAAACUUCGAAUGGCUUGGAUUCAUCAGGAGGAGUCAAGACAGGAGCUGUAACUAGCUUCUCUUUGAGGGUGUUGAAAGCGACAUCACACUCAGGCGUCCAGACAUAAUUGACAUGCUUCUGGAGAAGGUUGGAAAGAGGCUUUGCAAUCUUAGAGAAAUUCUCAACGAAUCUUCGGCAAUAGCUUGCAAGACCCAGAAAACUGCGGAGCUGCUUGACAUUUUGAGGAGGUUCCCAAUUCACAAUUGAAGACACCUUCUCGGGAUUAACAGCGAUGCCCUUGGCAGAGAUGAUGUGGCCAAGAUAAAGAACUUCAUCAAGCCAGAACUCACAUUUGGAAAACUUCGCAUAGAAUUGAUGCUCUCUGAGCUUGUCGAGCACCAAUCGCAAAUGUUUGGCAUGAUCCUGCUUGUUCUUGGAGAAGACCAAAAUAUCAUCGAGAUACACCAAGACGAAAUCAUUGGUGUAGGGGUUGAAGAUAAAGUUCAUCAUUUGAGAGAAAGUUGGAGGAGCAUUGACAAGGCCGAAAGACAUGACGGUAUAUUCAUAAGAACCAAAGCUUGUUCUGAAUGUUGUCUUGGGAAUAUCUUGUUCACGAAUGCGAAUCUGAUGAUAACCCAUACAGAGGUCAAGCUUGGAGAAUACUUUAGCACCUUUGAGUUGCUCGAAUAGCUCAUUGAUGUUGGGAAGUGGAUACUUGUUCUUGAUUGUGUUCUUGUUCAAUGGACGGUAAUCAACGCACAGUCGGUCCGUGCCAUCCUUCUUCUGGACAAAAAGAACUCCACAUCCCCAUGGAGAUGAACUCGGUCUGAUCAAACCCAGACGCUCUUAUUCAUCGAGCUGCUUCUUCAAUUCUUUCAGCUCCUUGGGUCCAAGCUUGUAUGGACGCUUGCAAACGGGUUCAGUGCCAGGCUCAAGAUCGAUAACGAAUUCGACUGGCCGAUGCGGAGGCAUACCCGGAAGCUCUUCUGGAAAGACAUCUUGGUACUCACAAACGACUGGAAUUUGCGAGAUAGCAUCCAACUCGCCCUUCUCAUUGAGAGAAAACAACCGAAUGGUUUCAUCACGAGCGGCAUAGAUGAUAACAUCCUCAGAAGGGUGUGUCAAUUGAAUUUGUCUGGCAGCACAAUCAAGUUGAGCUUUGUGCUGAGAAAGCCAGUCCAUCCCGAGAAUUAGAUCAAUAUCCAAGUCACCAAGAACAAAUGGUUUAGAUAGAAAUCUAUAGUCGCCCAUCUUGAUAGAAACAUCUGGAAUCAUUGUGGUAGCCCUCAUAGAAGAGGCCGGAGAAACAACUCCCAUGGGUUUUUCCAACAUUUCCGAAAUGAAAUCAUGCUUUGCGACAAAUGAUCUAGACAUGAAACAAUGCGAUGCACCGGUAUCAAAUAAGACUUUUGCAGGAAUAUCGUUAACUGGAAGAUUACCCAUAAUCACGUCAGAAGAAUCCUCUGCUUGCGCUGCAUUCAUCAUGUUCACCUUUGCAGACUUGGGAUUAUGCUUGACCACUGCAUUGCUUGAAGACCUCACAAGAGGAGGAGGAGGAAGGCGCCUUUGGUUGAAGCAUUUGUUCGCAUAGUGACCCUUCUGCUGGCACUUGUUGCAGGUCACCUUUGAGAGCGGACGGUGAUAAGGAGCAUUUGACCUUGGAGCUUGAGGCUGAGACUUGUUCUGAUAGACUGGGUUGGGUGGGUGGGAAGAUCCACGACCACCUGAGUUCUUCUGCUGAUAAGGCUGACGGAACGGAGGAGGAGGAAGGUAGAACUUUUGCUGCUUAGCUGCCACUUGAGAGGAAGAAGACUGAACUGCAUCCCUGAUUCUCUUCUUUGAAGCCUCACACUUGAGCUGAGCACCUUCUUGCUUGAGGGCCAUAUUGUAGAAUUGAUCAAACUGAGUAGGCUCAAUAAGAACAAGAGCUAACUGCAGAUCCUCUCUAAGGCCACCUCUGAAUUGAUAGAUCAUACUCUUUUCAUCAGGAACGUCUUGUUUAGCGAAGCGAGCAAGUUUCUGAAACUGUUUGUUGUAUUCGUACACUGACAUGUUGCCUUGCUUGAGAUUGCGGAACUCCUCACGCUUGCUCUCAACAACACUGGUAGGAAUGUGGUGAGCUUUAAAGUCCCGACAGAAAUCAGUCCAAGUAAUCACUCGACCACCUCUGGAAUCCUUGUAUUGCUGGAACCAAUCAGCUGCCUGAUCCUUGAGCUGAAAAGACGCGAACUUGACGUAGUCCUCAGGUCUGACAUUGCUGCAUUCGAAAUGCUUGUUGAUAUCCACGAGCCAAUCGUCGGCGUCUGUGGCCUCGGCACAGUAGCUGAAAGACUUUGGCUGAUUUGCAAGGAACUGGUUGAGGGUAGGGAACUGAGGCUGAUGGUAGAACUGUCCUUAACCUUGAUUCCCUUGGUUGCCUUGGCCUUGGUUACGCUCUUGCAUCAGCUGGAUCAACAACUGAGCGUUGGCGUUAGUGGUUGCCAUCAAAGUUUGCCAGGCCUCCGGAGGCGGAGGUGGAGGUGGAGGGUUCGCCUGACUCCCAUCACUGCGUUCCGGAUUCUGACGCGUUGGCGGGGCCAUCCUGAAGAGGGUGACAUCCGUUAGCAUCUUGAUAGACAGAUAGACAAGUUGAGUCAACGGAUAGAAAUUGCAACAUAUAGUCUUCACAAUAAACAUUCGAACAGGGAUGAACGAAUGAAUUCCAAAGUAAACACCACUUCCAUUAAGGUGAGAAGCCACUUGAUAAGAGAUUGAUGAAUGAAAAUAAAAACAAGGUAUGAAUGGAACAAAUAAGUGGUAAGGAUUACCCAAUCACAAACCAAAUAUCUGCGGGAAGAAGUGUUAGAGCUACUUGAAUCCCACCUAUAAACUCCCGAAACUUUCCGGUUAUGCAAUCAGGUGUUGGGGAUACAGGGGAAGCAAUAUAUCUCACCCAAACUAACAAUCCCAACAUCCAGCUGUAUCCAUCCGUCAACACAUAACCAAGAAACCUUCGGAAAUCAUGUACCUCAACCUUCGAAAAGCAUCCGUUAUACAAGUCAUGGCAAUACUCCCAUACUCACCUCAGUACUGGGUUAUCGGGGUUAUCUCACCAACAACUGCAUAAAAGAGAUUUUCGAUGUCGGCGUACUAAACUCAGGUAUUACAGAACUGUAACGAUAAAAUUAUGAUGACAACACCUCAGAGCUCAACUCCCCGGGACACUUCCACUAAACCCCUGACAGGAGGCACCAAGACAAUGUUCUCAUCAUAAAACAAUCGGAACGAUUCCAAGAUACCCGCGUGAUCCUAAAAAUUUUUUAGUGAAAUUUGAGGAGAGGAAAGUCAAAACUUCUACGUCAGGAGACCUCACCAGAGCGACGAAGGGACUGAGGAGUAAAAAGAAUUCCUAACUCUCCGAUAUGUAUAAUCCUAAAUGACUCAAAACAUUUUUUCUAGACACAACUCGGCCGCUAAAAACGAUCAAGCAGUGGGGCUCCUAAGGUCGGGGAAGGCUCUGAUUACCAACUUGUAACGCCCUCGAUGCGGCUAUAUCUCCCACGUGUCGAAGCACGACUUAGAGGCAUAACCUCAUUGAAAGCAAUGUCGCAAGUGAGGUAAUCUUCACACAACCCAUGUAAUACAUAAGGGAAAGAGAUACAUAGUUGGCUUACAGUCGCCACUUCACACAAUACAUAAAUAAACAUCCAUCAUUCAGAUUACACUCAAGGUCCGACUACGGAACCAAAAUAAAAGAAGACUACCCCAAAUGCAACACAGAUCCCCGAUCGCCCCAACUGGGCUCCGCUACUGAUCGUCUAGAAAUGAAACAUAGUAACGACCAAGGGCCUCAUCAAAUUCCCACUUCAGCUCAGUUGCGCCCUCUGCGCUGGUAUCAUCGGUACCUGCAUCUGUUUUGGUAGAAUCUAUGAGCUACGGGGACUCAGCAAUCUCACACCCGCGAGAUCAAGACUAUUUAAGCUUAAGGGAAGGGUGGUGUAAUGAGGUGGAGCUGCAGCAAGCGACUAGCAUAUAUGGUGGCUACGAUCGCAAAAGAGAGCGAGAAGAGAAGCAAGGCACGGUCGUGAAGCUAGUAGCGAUCAAGAAGUGAUCCUGAAACUACUUACGUCAAACAUAACUCCAACACCGUGUUCACUUCCCGGACUCCGCCGAGAAGGGACCAUCACGGUUACACACGCGGUUGAUGUAUUUUAAUUAAGGUCAACUUCGGGUUUUCUACAACCGGACAUUAACAAAUUCCCAUCUGCCUCAUAACCGCGGGCACGGCUUUCGAAAGAUAAUACCCUGCAGGGGUGUCCCAACUUAGCCCAUCACAAGCUCUCACGGUCAACGAAGGAAUAAACCUUCUCCCAGGAAGACCCGAUCAGUCUCGGAAUCCCGGUUCGCAUGACAUUUCGACAAUGGUAAAACAAGACCAGCAAGACCACCCGACUGUGCCGACAAAUCCCGAUAGGAGCUGCACAUAUCUCGUUCUCAGGGCACACCGGAUAAGCUAAGUGUACAGGUACCAACGUAUUCCAAGUUGCCAAGGAAUGGUCCCGCACGAUGCUCUAGUUUGGACCAACACUCAGAGGAGCACUGGCCCGGGGGGGUUAAAUAAAGAUGACCCUCGGGCUCGUGAAAACCCAAGGGAAAAAGGCUUAGGUGGCAAAUGGUAAAACCAAGGUUGGGCCUUGCUGGAGGAGUUUUAUUCAAAGCGAACUGUCACGGGGGUCCCAUAAUCACCCAACCGCGUAAGGAACGCAAAAUCAAGGAACAUAACACCGGUAUGACGGAAACUAGGGCGGCAAGAGUGGAACAAAACACCAGGCAUAGGGCCGAGUCUUCCACCCUUUACCAAGUAUAUAUAUGCAUUAAUUAAAACAAUAAAUAUUGUGAUAUCCCAAAAUAUCCAUGUUCCGAACCAGGAACAAACUUCAUCUUCACCUGCAACUAGCAACGCUAUAAGAGGGGCUGAGCAAAGCGGUAACAUAGCCAAUCAACGGUUUGCUAGGGCAUGGAUGGUUAGAGGUUUGACAUGGCAAUAUGGGUGGCAUGAUAUAGCAAGUGGUAGGUAACAUAGCAUAGGCAUAGCAAAAGAGCGAGCAUCUAGCAAGCAAAGAUAGAAGUGAUUUCGAAGGUAUGGUCAUCUUGCCUGCAAGGUUCUCAGAGUUGUCGAAGGCUUGAUCCUCGUAGGCGUUCUCAACAGGUUCCUCGUUCACGUACUCGUCUCCCGGCUCUACCCAAAGCAAGAACACAAGCAACGGAACCACAAUCAAACAAGGAGCAAUGCACAAGCAAUAUGAUGCAAUACAUGACAUGCUAUGCGAGAUGUGAUAUGCAAUGCAUAUGUGUGCUCCGGAAGGAAAAUGAUGAACAAGGCAUC